CCUACGGGAGGCAGCAGUCGAGAAUCAUUCACAAUGGGGGAAACCCUGAUGGUGCGACGCCGCGUGGGGGAAUGAAGGUCUUCGGAUUGUAAACCCCUGUCAUGUGGGAGCAAAUUAAAAAGAUAGUACCACAAGAGGAAGAGACGGCUAACUCUGUGCCAGCAGCCGCGGUAAUACAGAGGUCUCAAGCGUUGUUCGGAAUCACUGGGCGUAAAGCGUGCGUAGGCUGUUUCGUAAGUCGUGUGUGAAAGGCGCGGGCUCAACCCGCGGACGGCACAUGAUACUGCGAGACUAGAGUAAUGGAGGGGGAACCGGAAUUCUCGGUGUAGCAGUGAAAUGCGGAGAGAUCGAGAGGAACACUCGUGGCGAAGGCGGGUUCCUGGACAUUAACUGACGCUGAGGCACGAAGGCCAGGGGAGCGAAAGGGAUUAGAUACCCUAGUAGUC
Molecule: ribosomal RNA, 446 nt
Filed under: uncultured bacterium
Lineage: Bacteria
Description: partial 16S ribosomal RNA
Rfam family: Bacterial small subunit ribosomal RNA
Source: RNAcentral